CCUACGGGAGGCAGCAGUGGGGAAUAUUGGGCAAUGGGCGCAAGCCUGACCCCGCAACGCCGCGUGAAGGAAGAAGGCCCUCGGGUUGUAAACUUCUUUUAUUCGGGACGAAACAAAUGACGGUACCGAAUGACUAAGCCACGGCUAACUACGUGCCAGCAGCCGCGGUAAUACGUAGGUGGCAAGCGUUAUCCGGAUUUACUGGGUGUAAAGGGCGUGUAGGCGGGAGAGCAAGUCAGACGUGAAAUUCCAGGGCUCAACCCUGGAACUGCGUUUGAAACUGUUCUUCUUGAGUGAUGGGGAGGCAGGCGGAAUUCCGUGUGGAGCGGUGAAAUGCGUAGAUAUACGGAGGAACACCAGUGGUGAAGGCGGCCUGCUGGACAUUAACUGACGCUGAGGCGCGAAAGCGUGGGGAGCAAACAGGAUUAGAUACCCCGGUAGUC
This 443-nucleotide ribosomal RNA is filed under the name uncultured bacterium. Its description in RNAcentral is "partial 16S ribosomal RNA". It matches the Rfam family "Bacterial small subunit ribosomal RNA", at positions 338 to 795 of the family's 1533-position model. The record is from RNAcentral.